Nomascus leucogenys (northern white-cheeked gibbon) is the source of this 147-nucleotide non-coding RNA. It matches the Rfam family "Metazoan signal recognition particle RNA". Rfam says of the family: The signal recognition particle (SRP) is a universally conserved ribonucleoprotein. It is involved in the co-translational targeting of proteins to membranes. NCBI's taxonomy places the organism in Eukaryota, Metazoa, Chordata, Mammalia, Primates, Hylobatidae. The record is from Rfam.
GCUGGGCAUGGUGGUGCAUGCCUGUAAUCCAGCUACUUGGGAGGCUGAGGCAGGAGAAUUGCUUGAACCUGGGAGAUGGAGGUUGCAGUGAGCUGACAUCGUGCCACUGCACCCCUGCCUGGGUGACAGAGCAAGACUCCGUCUCAA